This 816-nucleotide ribosomal RNA is filed under the name uncultured Gemmatimonadota bacterium. Its description in RNAcentral is "bacterial SSU rRNA". It matches the Rfam family "Bacterial small subunit ribosomal RNA", at positions 60 to 879 of the family's 1533-position model. Lineage: Bacteria; Pseudomonadati; Gemmatimonadota. The record is from RNAcentral.
AGUCACGGGGGCUCGCAAGAGCAACCGGCGAACGGGUGCGUAACACGUGAACAACCUGCCCUCGUGUGGGGGAUAGCCGGGCUAACGCCCGGGUAAUACCGCAUACGUUCUCUUUGGGGAGUCCCGAGGAGAGGAAAGCUCCGGCAACGGAGCGCACGGGGAGGGGUUCGCGGCCUAUCAGCUAGUUGGCGGGGUAAUGGCCCACCAAGGCGACGACGGGUAGCUGGUCUGAGAGGAUGGCCAGCCACAUUGGGACUGAGAGACGGCCCAGACUCCUACGGGAGGCAGCAGUGGGGAAUCUUGCGCAAUGGCCGAAAGGCUGACGCAGCGACGCCGCGUGUGGGAGGACGCCUUUCGGGGUGUAAACCACUGUUGCCCGGGACGAACAGCCCUUUUCGAGGGGUCUGACGGUACCGGGUGAGGAAGCACCGGCUAACUCCGUGCCAGCAGCCGCGGUAAUACGGAGGGUGCGAGCGUUGUCCGGAAUCAUUGGGCGUAAAGGGCGCGUAGGUGGCACGAUCAGCGUGCGGUGAAAGCUCGGGGCUCAACCCCGAGUCGGCCGUGCGAACUAUCGAGCUGGAGCACUGUAGAGGCAGGCGGAAUUCCGGGUGUAGCGGUGGAAUGCGUAGAGAUCCGGAAGAACACCGGUGGCGAAGGCGGCCUGCUGGGCAGUUGCUGACACUGAGGCGCGACAGCGUGGGGAGCAAACAGGAUUAGAUACCCUGGUAGUCCACGCCGUAAACGAUGGGCACUAGGCGCUUGGGGGAGCGACCCCCCGAGGGCCGGCGCUAACGCAUUAAGUGCCCCGCCUGGGGA